This 2875-nucleotide ribosomal RNA is filed under the name Pseudomonas sp. Leaf15. Its description in RNAcentral is "bacterial LSU rRNA". It matches the Rfam family "Bacterial large subunit ribosomal RNA". The record is from RNAcentral. Lineage: Bacteria; Pseudomonadati; Pseudomonadota; Gammaproteobacteria; Pseudomonadales; Pseudomonadaceae.
GUUAUAUGGUCAAGUGAAGAAGCGCAUACGGUGGAUGCCUUGGCAGUCAGAGGCGAUGAAAGACGUGGUAGCCUGCGAAAAGCUUCGGGGAGUCGGCAAACAGACUUUGAUCCGGAGAUGUCUGAAUGGGGGAACCCAGCCAUCAUAAGAUGGUUAUCUUACGCUGAAUACAUAGGCGUAAGAGGCGAACCAGGGGAACUGAAACAUCUAAGUACCCUGAGGAAAAGAAAUCAACCGAGAUUCCCUUAGUAGUGGCGAGCGAACGGGGACUAGCCCUUAAGUGGCUUUGAGAUUAGCGGAACGCUCUGGAAAGURCGGCCAUAGUGGGUGAUAGCCCUGUACGCGAAAAUCUCUUAGUCAUGAAAUCGAGUAGGACGGAGCACGAGAAACUUUGUCUGAAUAUGGGGGGACCAUCCUCCAAGGCUAAAUACUACUGACUGACCGAUAGUGAACUAGUACCGUGAGGGAAAGGCGAAAAGAACCCCGGAGAGGGGAGUGAAAUAGAUCCUGAAACCGUAUGCGUACAAGCAGUGGGAGCCCACUUUGUUGGGUGACUGCGUACCUUUUGUAUAAUGGGUCAGCGACUUAUUUUCAGUGGCGAGCUUAACCGAAUAGGGGAGGCGUAGCGAAAGCGAGUCUUAAUAGGGCGUCUAGUCGCUGGGAAUAGACCCGAAACCGGGCGAUCUAUCCAUGGGCAGGUUGAAGGUUGGGUAACACUAACUGGAGGACCGAACCGACUACCGUUGAAAAGUUAGCGGAUGACCUGUGGAUCGGAGUGAAAGGCUAAUCAAGCUCGGAGAUAGCUGGUUCUCCUCGAAAGCUAUUUAGGUAGCGCCUCAUGUAUCACUGUAGGGGGUAGAGCACUGUUUCGGCUAGGGGGUCAUCCCGACUUACCAAACCGAUGCAAACUCCGAAUACCUACAAGUGCCGAGCAUGGGAGACACACGGCGGGUGCUAACGUCCGUCGUGAAAAGGGAAACAACCCAGACCGUCAGCUAAGGUCCCAAAGUUAUGGUUAAGUGGGAAACGAUGUGGGAAGGCUUAGACAGCUAGGAGGUUGGCUUAGAAGCAGCCACCCUUUAAAGAAAGCGUAAUAGCUCACUAGUCGAGUCGGCCUGCGCGGAAGAUGUAACGGGGCUCAAACCAUACACCGAAGCUACGGGUAUCACGUAAGUGAUGCGGUAGAGGAGCGUUCUGUAAGCCUGUGAAGGUGAGUUGAGAAGCUUGCUGGAGGUAUCAGAAGUGCGAAUGCUGACAUGAGUAACGACAAUGGGUGUGAAAAACACCCACGCCGAAAGACCAAGGUUUCCUGCGCAACGUUAAUCGACGCAGGGUUAGUCGGUCCCUAAGGCGAGGCUGAAAAGCGUAGUCGAUGGAAAACAGGUUAAUAUUCCUGUACUUCUGGUUAUUGCGAUGGAGGGACGGAGAAGGCUAGGCCAGCUUGGCGUUGGUUGUCCAAGUUUAAGGUGGUAGGCUGGAAUCUUAGGUAAAUCCGGGAUUCUAAGGCCGAGAGCUGAUGACGAGCUAACUUUUAGUUAGCGAAGUGGUUGAUGCCAUGCUUCCAAGAAAAGCUUCUAAGCUUCAGGUAACCAGGAACCGUACCCCAAACCGACACAGGUGGUUGGGUAGAGAAUACCAAGGCGCUUGAGAGAACUCGGGUGAAGGAACUAGGCAAAAUGGCACCGUAACUUCGGGAGAAGGUGCGCCGGUGAGGGUGAAGGACUUGCUCCGUAAGCUCAUGCCGGUCGAAGAUACCAGGCCGCUGCGACUGUUUAUUAAAAACACAGCACUCUGCAAACACGAAAGUGGACGUAUAGGGUGUGACGCCUGCCCGGUGCCGGAAGGUUAAUUGAUGGGGUUAGCUAACGCGAAGCUCUUGAUCGAAGCCCCGGUAAACGGCGGCCGUAACUAUAACGGUCCUAAGGUAGCGAAAUUCCUUGUCGGGUAAGUUCCGACCUGCACGAAUGGAUUGAAAUCGCUGUGAAGAUGCAGUGUAUCCGCGGCUAGACGGAAAGACCCCGUGAACCUUUACUAUAGCUUUGCACUGGACUUUGAAUUUGCUUGUGUAGGAUAGGUGGGAGGCUUUGAAGCGUGGACGCCAGUCUGCGUGGAGCCAACCUUGAAAUACCACCCUGGCAACUUUGAGGUUCUAACUCAGGUCCGUUAUCCGGAUCGAGGACAGUGUAUGGUGGGUAGUUUGACUGGGGCGGUCUCCUCCUAAAGAGUAACGGAGGAGUACGAAGGUGCGCUCAGACCGGUCGGAAAUCGGUCGUAGAGUAUAAAGGCAAAAGCGCGCUUGACUGCGAGACAGACACGUCGAGCAGGUACGAAAGUAGGUCUUAGUGAUCCGGUGGUUCUGUAUGGAAGGGCCAUCGCUCAACGGAUAAAAGGUACUCCGGGGAUAACAGGCUGAUACCGCCCAAGAGUUCAUAUCGACGGCGGUGUUUGGCACCUCGAUGUCGGCUCAUCACAUCCUGGGGCUGAAGCCGGUCCCAAGGGUAUGGCUGUUCGCCAUUUAAAGUGGUACGCGAGCUGGGUUUAGAACGUCGUGAGACAGUUCGGUCCCUAUCUGCCGUGGACGUUUGAGAUUUGAGAGGGGCUGCUCCUAGUACGAGAGGACCGGAGUGGACGAACCUCUGGUGUUCCGGUUGUCACGCCAGUGGCAUUGCCGGGUAGCUAUGUUCGGAAUAGAUAACCGCUGAAAGCAUCUAAGCGGGAAACUAGCCUCAAGAUGAGAUCUCACUGGGACCUUGAGUCCCCUGAAGGGCCGUCGAAGACUACGACGUUGAUAGGUUGGGUGUGUAAGCGCUGUGAGGCGUUGAGCUAACCAAUACUAAUUGCCCGUGAGGCUUGACCAUAUAACACCCAAGCAAUU